UGGCGAACGGGUGAGUAACACGUGGGUAACCUGCCCAUCAGAAGGGGAUAACACUUGGAAACAGGUGCUAAUACCGUAUAACACUAUUUUCCGCAUGGAAGAAAGUUGAAAGGCGCUUUUGCGUCACUGAUGGAUGGACCCGCGGUGCAUUAGCUAGUUGGUGAGGUAACGGCUCACCAAGGCAACGAUGCAUAGCCGACCUGAGAGGGUGAUCGGCCACACUGGGACUGAGACACGGCCCAGACUCCUACGGGAGGCAGCAGUAGGGAAUCUUCGGCAAUGGACGAAAAGUCUGACCGAGCAAACGCCGCGUGAGUGAAGAAGAUUUUUCGGAUUCGUAAAAACUUCUGG
Molecule: ribosomal RNA, 351 nt
Filed under: Enterococcus casseliflavus
Lineage: Bacteria; Bacillati; Bacillota; Bacilli; Lactobacillales; Enterococcaceae
Description: bacterial SSU rRNA
Rfam family: Bacterial small subunit ribosomal RNA
Source: RNAcentral